AAUUCUCUCCGUGUUUUAGCUCUCGGGUUUUGUUUGGCUUUUGAUGUCUGAAAAUGUUUUUUUGUCAACUUAUUCUCAUUUUGCGAGUGACGGUUUAGUGUGUCUAUUAAUUAUCUGAUUUGUCCGGUUUUGGUCUUCGAUUUGUUUGGCUUUUGUUUCUUGAAGGUCCGGGCUAAUUUAGUCGGGUCAUGUAGGUUUCGUUUAUUCAGUUCAUUUAGUUUUCAAGUAUUUGUAACCUGCCUUUCGUC
Arabidopsis thaliana (thale cress) is the source of this 248-nucleotide long non-coding RNA. RefSeq annotates it as other RNA. Lineage: Eukaryota; Viridiplantae; Streptophyta; Magnoliopsida; Brassicales; Brassicaceae. The transcript has a single exon. The record is from RefSeq.